GUGGGGAAUAUUGCACAAUGGGGGAAACCCUGAUGCAGCGACGCCGCGUGGAGGAAGAAGGUCUUCGGAUUGUAAACUCCUGUUGUUGAGGAAGAUAAUGACGGUACUCAACAAGGAAGUGACGGCUAACUACGUGCCAGCAGCCGCGGUAAAACGUAGGUCACAAGCGUUGUCCGGAAUUACUGGGUGUAAAGGGAGCGCAGGCGGGAGAACAAGUUGGAAGUGAAAUCCAUGGGCUCAACCCAUGAACUGCUUUCAAAACUGUUUUUCUUGAGUAGUGCAGAGGUAGGCGGAAUUCCCGGUGUAGCGGUGGAAUGCGUAGAUAUCGGGAGGAACACCAGUGGCGAAGGCGGCCUACUGGGCACCAACUGACGCUGAGGCUCGAAAGUGUGGGUAGCAAACAGGAUUAGAAACCCGAGUAGUCC
Molecule: ribosomal RNA, 425 nt
Filed under: uncultured bacterium
Lineage: Bacteria
Description: partial 16S ribosomal RNA
Rfam family: Bacterial small subunit ribosomal RNA
Source: RNAcentral